RNAcentral lists this ribosomal RNA (239 nucleotides) under Sarcocystis cruzi. RNAcentral describes it as "partial 18S ribosomal RNA". It matches the Rfam family "Eukaryotic small subunit ribosomal RNA", at positions 748 to 964 of the family's 1831-position model. Lineage: Eukaryota; Apicomplexa; Conoidasida; Eucoccidiorida; Sarcocystidae. The record is from RNAcentral.
CUCCUAUCUAUAUUGGGAUAAUACCGUUACUUUGAGAAAAUUAGAGUGUUUGAAGCAGGCUAAUUGCCUUGAAUACUGCAGCAUGGAAUAACAAUAUAGGAUUUCGGUUCUAUUUUGUUAGUUUCUAGGCAACUGAAAUAAUCAUUAAUAGGGACAGUUCCGGGCAUUCGUAUUUAACUUCUGAGGUNAAAUUCUUAGAUUUGUUAAAGACGAACUACUGCGAAANCAUUUGCCAAAGA